This 318-nucleotide ribosomal RNA is filed under the name uncultured eukaryote. RNAcentral's name for it is "partial 18S ribosomal RNA". It matches the Rfam family "Eukaryotic small subunit ribosomal RNA", at positions 1470 to 1796 of the family's 1831-position model. The record is from RNAcentral.
CCCUUAGAUGUUCUGGGCCGCACGCGCGCUACACUGUUCGACGCAGCGAGUCUUAACCUUGACCGAAAGGUUUGGGUAAUCUUCAGCAAAGUCGAACGUGAUGGGGAUCGAUCAUUGCAAUUAUUGAUCGUGAACGAGGAAUUCCUAGUAAGUGCAAGUCAUCAGCUUGCGCUGAUUACGUCCCUGCCCUUUGUACACACCGCCCGUCGCUGCAACUGAUUGGGUGACCUGGUGGACAUCUUGGACCGGCCCACUCAAUUUCGAGAGGACUGGAAAAGGCCGUAAAUCAGGUACAUCUAGAAAUUGCAAGUCGUAACA